Molecule: ribosomal RNA, 381 nt
Filed under: uncultured eukaryote
Lineage: Eukaryota
Description: partial 18S ribosomal RNA
Rfam family: Eukaryotic small subunit ribosomal RNA
Source: RNAcentral
CAAUAGCGUAUAUUAAAGCUGUUGCGGUUAAAAAGCUCGUAGUUGGAUUUCUGUCAAGGACAACUGGUCCGCCCUCCGGGUGAGCACAUAGUUUGGUCUUGACAUCUUGCUGGAAGCUGUUGCUGCACUUGGCUGUGUGGCGCAGUGUUCAGCACUUUCACUUUGAGGAAAUUGGAGUGUUUCAAGCAGGCACAUGCCUUUGGACACAGUAGCAUGGAAUAAUUAGAUUGGGCUUUUGCUCCAAUUUGUCGGUUUCUGGAGCUGAGGUGAGUAUUAAUGGGGAUUGUUGGGGGCAUCCGAAUUUAGCCGUCAGAGGUGAAAUUCUUGGAUCUGCUAAAGACGGACAACUGCGAAAGCGUCUGCCAAGGAUGUUUUCAUUAA